AUGCAAGUCGAACGAGAUCUUCGGAUCUAGUGGCGCACGGGUGAGUAACGCGUGGGAACCUACCUUUUAGUUCGGGAUAACAGUUGGAAACGACUGCUAAUACCGUAUACGCCCUCUGGGGGAAAGGUCAGCCGCUGAAAGAGGGGCCCGCGUCUGAUUAGCUUGUUGGUAGGGUAAAAGCCUACCAAGGCUACGAUCAGUAGCUGGUCUGAGAGGAUGAUCAGCCACACUGGGACUGAGACACGGCCCAGACUCCUACGGGAGGCAGCAGUCGGGAAUAUUGGACAAUGGAGGAAACUCUGAUCCAGCAAUGCCGCGUGUGUGAUGAAGGCCCUAGGGUUGUAAAGCACUUUCAACGGUGAAGAUGAUGACGGUAGCCGUAGAAGAAGCCCCGGCUAACUUCGUGCCAGCAGCCGCGGUAAUACGAAGGGGGCGAGCGUUGUUCGGAAUUAUUGGGCGUAAAGGGCGCGCAGGCGGUUUGGAUAGUUAGACGUGAAAGCCCUGGGCUUAACCUAGGAACUGCGUUUAAUACUGCCAAACUAGAGAACUAGAGAGGAUAGCGGAACUCCCAGUGUAGAGGUGAAAUUCGUAGAUAUUGCGAAGAACAUCAGUGGCGAAAGCGGCUGUCUGG
This 631-nucleotide ribosomal RNA is filed under the name uncultured bacterium. Its description in RNAcentral is "bacterial SSU rRNA". It matches the Rfam family "Bacterial small subunit ribosomal RNA", at positions 55 to 732 of the family's 1533-position model. The record is from RNAcentral.